RNAcentral lists this ribosomal RNA (253 nucleotides) under uncultured bacterium. RNAcentral describes it as "partial 16S ribosomal RNA". It matches the Rfam family "Bacterial small subunit ribosomal RNA", at positions 524 to 776 of the family's 1533-position model. The record is from RNAcentral.
UACGGAGGGAGCUAGCGUUGUUCGGAAUUACUGGGCGUAAAGCGCGCGUAGGCGGCUUGGCAAGUAGAGGGUGAAAUCCCGGAGCUUAACUCCGGAACUGCCUCCUAAACUGCUGAGCUAGAAUCCUGGAGAGGUGAGUGGAAUUCCUAGUGUAGAGGUGAAAUUCGUAGAUAUUAGGAAGAACACCAGUGGCGAAGGCGACUCACUGGACAGGUAUUGACGCUGAGGUGCGAAAGCGUGGGGAGCGAACAGG